GGGGCUGCGGUGCUAUACAUGCAGUCGAGCGAACGGACGAGAAGCUUGCUUCUCUGAUGUUAGCGGCGGACGGGUGAGUAACACGUGGAUAACCUACCUAUAAGACUGGGAUAACUUCGGGAAACCGGAGCUAAUACCGGAUAAUAUUUUGAACCGCAUGGUUCAAAAGUGAAAGACGGUCUUGCUGUCACUUAUAGAUGGAUCCGCGCUGCAUUAGCUAGUUGGUAAGGUAACGGCUUACCAAGGCAACGAUGCAUAGCCGACCUGAGAGGGUGAUCGGCCACACUGGAACUGAGACACGGUCCAGACUCCUACGGGAGGCAGCAGUAGGGAAUCUUCCGCAAUGGGCGAAAGCCUGACGGAGCAACGCCGCGUGAGUGAUGAAGGUCUUCGGAUCGUAAAACUCUGUUAUUAGGGAAGAACAUAUGUGUAAGUAACUGUGCACAUCUUGACGGUACCUAAUCAGAAAGCCACGGCUAACUACGUGCCAGCAGCCGCGGUAAUACGUAGGUGGCAAGCGUUAUCCGGAAUUAUUGGGCGUAAAGCGCGCGUAGGCGGUUUUUUAAGUCUGAUGUGAAAGCCCACGGCUCAACCGUGGAGGGUCAUUGGAAACUGGAAAACUUGAGUGCAGAAGAGGAAAGUGGAAUUCCAUGUGUAGCGGUGAAAUGCGCAGAGAUAUGGAGGAACACCAGUGGCGAAGGCGACUUUCUGGUCUGUAACUGACGCUGAUGUGCGAAAGCGUGGGGAUCAAACAGGAUUAGAUACCCUGGUAGUCCACGCCGUAAACGAUGAGUGCUAAGUGUUAGGGGGUUUCCGCCCCUUAGUGCUGCAGCUAACGCAUUAAGCACUCCGCCUGGGGAGUACGACCGCAAGGUUGAAACUCAAAGGAAUUGACGGGGACCCGCACAAGCGGUGGAGCAUGUGGUUUAAUUCGAAGCAACGCGAAGAACCUUACCAAAUCUUGACAUCCUUUGACAACUCUAGAGAUAGAGCCUUCCCCUUCGGGGGGACAAAGUGACAGGUGGUGCAUGGUUGUCGUCAGCUCGUGUCGUGAGAUGUUGGGUUAAGUC
RNAcentral lists this ribosomal RNA (1070 nucleotides) under Staphylococcus aureus. Its description in RNAcentral is "bacterial SSU rRNA". It matches the Rfam family "Bacterial small subunit ribosomal RNA", at positions 38 to 1086 of the family's 1533-position model. The record is from RNAcentral. Lineage: Bacteria; Bacillati; Bacillota; Bacilli; Caryophanales; Staphylococcaceae.